AAUAAGCGAACUUGUUAAUGAAACUGAAGUUGUAAAACAGUUAGGAGAAUGCCAUGGUUUUAUUCUGUUCAGUGUUGAACGUGCCCUGUAUCAUCACUUCAAGGGGAACUCUAUGAGGGAAGCUUGCCUGGGGGUCCAGAACUACCAAAAGUGUAUUGUGGCAAAACUGGAACAAUUUCAUGACCGAAACUUCACAAUGCCAGACAGCCAAAUUGUGAAAUACUACACUAUGAGGUUAUUUGGGAAAUACAACUGGACAUGUGACAGUCUGGAUCAUAAAAAAAAAUAUACUACCUUGACCACCUCGCUUGUAUUGAAGAUCAACUGCAAGAAUGCAGGUUCAUGCCGACGGUACUAAAGCUAGGGCGCAUCCGAAGACACACCCAACUUCUGGACAGCAGUUAUAAAAAAUACUGUUCCUUUUUAAUGAAAGGAAAAAAUGAGUGUACCACCAAGCUGCUCCCUGGAAAGUAUGAACAGUGCCUAGG
Long non-coding RNA from Ixodes scapularis (black-legged tick), 488 nucleotides. RefSeq lists it as uncharacterized. The record is from RefSeq and is a predicted model, not a curated record. The transcript is spliced from 4 exons. NCBI's taxonomy places the organism in Eukaryota, Metazoa, Arthropoda, Arachnida, Ixodida, Ixodidae.